GGAGGAAAGCAGGGGAUCGCAAGACCUCACGUUAUAGGAGCGGCCGAUGUCCGAUUAGCUAGUUGGUGGGGUAAAGGCCUACCAAGGCGACGAUCGGUAGCUGGUCUGAGAGGAUGAUCAGCCACACUGGGACUGAGACACGGCCCAGACUCCUACGGGAGGCAGCAGUGGGGAAUUUUGGACAAUGGGCGAAAGCCUGAUCCAGCCAUGCCGCGUGCGGGAAGAAGGCCUUCGGGUUGUAAACCGCUUUAGUCCGGGAAAAAGGGGUGCGAGGAUAAUACCCUUGUGCUUUGAUGGUACUGGAAGAAUAAGCACCGGCUAACUACGUGCCAGCAGCCGCGGUAAUACGUAGGGUGCGAGCGUUAAUCGGAAUUACUGGGCGUAAAGCGUGCGCAGGCGGUCUUGUAAGACAGUCGUGAAAGCCCCGGGCUUAACCUGGGAACUGCGUUUGAAACUACAAAGCUAG
This 466-nucleotide ribosomal RNA is filed under the name Nitrosospira sp. YKU16. Its description in RNAcentral is "bacterial SSU rRNA". It matches the Rfam family "Bacterial small subunit ribosomal RNA", at positions 198 to 644 of the family's 1533-position model. The record is from RNAcentral. Lineage: Bacteria; Pseudomonadati; Pseudomonadota; Betaproteobacteria; Nitrosomonadales; Nitrosomonadaceae.